Molecule: long non-coding RNA, 331 nt
Organism: Melitaea cinxia (Glanville fritillary)
Lineage: Eukaryota; Metazoa; Arthropoda; Insecta; Lepidoptera; Nymphalidae
Exons: 2
Source: RefSeq, a predicted model, not a curated record
CUAAAGUUACAUUGACCACAGAGUACUUUGAAUAUACAGGUAUAGAGUAAUCAGUCAGACUUUUCAGUUGCAGCGCCAUCUCUUGUUAAUUUAUCGAGUUAUAAAACUUCACAAUACACCUUUAAGUAGGUAUACUGUUUAAGUAGGUUCGUUUCGUACCUAGCUACAUUGUUGCUAAUUUCGUUGUUUAAAAAUCAAUUUUUCUUGAUUGAGCCAUUUCCAUUAUACCAUGGGUUAGUGUAAAUCUGUAUUGUAAAUCACAUACAAUAUAAAACAUGGUGUAAUGAAAACAGCUAAAUGUAUUUCAAAUAAAACAAUAACAUAACUUUAA